ACGAACGCUGGCGGCAUGCCUAACACAUGCCAGUCGAACGAGACCUUCGGGUCUAGUGGCGCACGGGUGCGUAACGCGUGGGAACCUGCCCUUAGGUUCGGAAUAACUCCCCGAAAGGGGUGCUAAUACCGGAUAAUGUCUUCGGACCAAAGAUUUAUCGCCUUUGGAUGGGCCCGCGUUGGAUUAGCUAGUUGGUAGGGUAAAAGCCUACCAAGGCGACGAUCCAUAGCUGGUCUGAGAGGAUGAUCAGCCACACUGGGACUGAGACACGGCCCAGACUCCUACGGGAGGCAGCAGUGGGGAAUAUUGGACAAUGGGCGAAAGCCUGAUCCAGCAAUGCCGCGUGAGUGAUGAAGGCCUUAGGGUUGUAAAGCUCUUUUACCCGGGAUGUUAAUGACAGUACCGGGAGAAUAAGCUCCGGCUAACUCCGUG
RNAcentral lists this ribosomal RNA (432 nucleotides) under uncultured bacterium. RNAcentral's name for it is "partial 16S ribosomal RNA". It matches the Rfam family "Bacterial small subunit ribosomal RNA", at positions 29 to 507 of the family's 1533-position model. The record is from RNAcentral.